RNAcentral lists this ribosomal RNA (460 nucleotides) under uncultured bacterium. RNAcentral describes it as "partial 16S ribosomal RNA". It matches the Rfam family "Bacterial small subunit ribosomal RNA", at positions 338 to 795 of the family's 1533-position model. The record is from RNAcentral.
CCUACGGGCGGCAGCAGUGAGGAAUAUUGGUCAAUGGACGCAAGCCUGAACCAGCCAAGUCGCGUGAGGGAUGACGGUCCUAUGGAUUGUAAACCUCUUUUGUCGGGGAGCAAGGCCCGCCACGUGUGGCGGGAAGGAGAGUACCCGAAGAAAAAGCAUCGGCUAACUCCGUGCCAGCAGCGGCGGUAAUACGAGGGAUGCGAGCGUUAUCGGGAUUUAUUGGGUUUAAAGGGUGCGUAGGCGGAAGGUUAAGUCGGCGUGAAAAUGUCGGUGCUCAACAUCAGCCUGCCGUUGAAACUGGUAUUCGUGAGUGCGCGAGAGGUAUGCGGAAUGCGUGGUGUAGCGGUGAAAUGCAUAGAUAUCACGAAGAACUCCGAUUGCGAAGGCAGCAUACCGGCGCUCAACUGACGCUGAGGCACGAAAGCGUGGGGAUCGAACAGGAUUAGAUACCCCUGUAGUC